CCUUUUAUCUUUCCGACCUAUCCAGCUCGGCUUCCACUUUUAAAGCUCGGUCCAGAGCAUCCCGGUAGUUUAUAAAGAGGUGUGAGGAUAAUUGGGAUCUGAUUUUGCAUUUCAGCCCCUGCUCGAAUCGAUUCGCUUUACUCGUCUCAUCUUCCAUAAACUGGGGGCAGAAUCGGCCUAGCUCAUUAAACUUGUUGGCGUACUCCAGGACAGUCAUGUACUUGAACUGAGCCAGUGAUAGGAACUCGUUUUGUUUUGC
Molecule: long non-coding RNA, 259 nt
Filed under: Phoenix dactylifera (date palm)
Lineage: Eukaryota; Viridiplantae; Streptophyta; Magnoliopsida; Arecales; Arecaceae
Description: long non-coding RNA (PDAC_LNC021181)
Source: RNAcentral